GGGAUUAACGCUGGCGGCGUGCCUGACACAUGCAAGUCGAACGAGGCCGCAAGGCCGAGUGGCGGACGGGUGAGUAACACGUGACCAACCAACCUCGAAGUUGGGAAUAGCUCUGCGAAAGUAGGGGUAAUACCGAAUGUGGCCCAGGGCGGGCAUCCGCCUUGGUCUAAAGAUUCAUCGCUUCGAGACGGGGUCGCGGCCUAUUAGCUUGUUGGUGAGGUAACGGCUCACCAAGGCGAUGAUGGGUAGCUGGUCUGAGAGGACGACCAGCCACACUGGGACUGAGACACGGCCCAGACUCCUACGGGAGGCAGCAGUGAGGAAUCUUCCGCAAUGGGCGAAAGCCUGACGGAGCAACGCCGCGUGUGGGAUGAAGACUCUAGGGUUGUAAACCACUGUCGGAGGGGACGAUCGUGACGGUACCCUCCAAGAAAGCCCCGGCUAACUACGUGCCAGCAGCCGC
Molecule: ribosomal RNA, 463 nt
Filed under: uncultured bacterium
Lineage: Bacteria
Description: SSU rRNA
Rfam family: Bacterial small subunit ribosomal RNA
Source: RNAcentral